AUGUUUGCUUCAUCAGCAUGUAUUUUAGAACUGGUAGGAUACAGAGAGGGUUCGCUUGGCCCCUGCGCAAAAACAUGUCAUUUAUUUUGCUAAGAGAGAGAGAAAUUGAGA
Molecule: small nuclear RNA, 111 nt
Filed under: Erinaceus europaeus (western European hedgehog)
Lineage: Eukaryota; Metazoa; Chordata; Mammalia; Eulipotyphla; Erinaceidae
Source: RNAcentral